Molecule: long non-coding RNA, 1107 nt
Organism: Drosophila santomea
Lineage: Eukaryota; Metazoa; Arthropoda; Insecta; Diptera; Drosophilidae
Exons: 2
Source: RefSeq, a predicted model, not a curated record
UCCAAUAUUAACUUGUUAGUGUUUCUAAGCACUCGGCAGGUUUCACAUCAUCUGCCAUUUAAAACACACAACCCACUCAAGUGGACGUAUAUUUUGGACAGCACCAACUAGGUGUAGAUGGGAAAUCGCUUUCGGAAGUUGGGCAAGCUAGCUGGUGGUGAGCUCCACUUUUUUGGGGGGCAGCCGACUGCGUUGAGCAACUCAAUUAGUGAGGAGGCGGGUAUGAUUUUAUUAGAUGAAUGCAAAGGGGGUGUUAUUUGGAGCCAGGUAUCCCAGGAGUUUCAAUGGCCUCAAGUGGUGGCAACGAACUCGUCGUAGACGCCAGACUCACCCACCUGGAGCAGCCGCACACUGUAUCUUGCUUAUCAUUCACGCCUCACGUCAGUGGCAAUUAGCAGAUGAGCGGAGAAGCUGAACUUGCUCCACUGUCCCACUGUCCCCUGUGCCCUGCACAUGAUGUGUUGCGAUUAUUAAUUUCUUGAUUGCGACAGCGGAAGGGUAACCCUAGUUUAUGGCGUGCCAUGUAAGCCAAGUUAACGAAGCAGCAAUGCCAAUUAGAUGCUAUCAUCAGGCGGCGUUGGGAGUCCGUGAAGGAGUCGUCACAGAUGACACAAGGGGGAAACCCUUUUCUUCUGCUGCCAGAACAAAGACGUUGACUUGACUUACACAACCCAACACAAGUGGGUCGGGUAGACUCGAUGACAUCAAUUGAAUGGCCUGGUCUUUGACCGCAGUGCUUCUGCCAGGAGUCAUCGCAUUCCGAUGCGGGCGAAGUAAUUGCCAUGGAGCAUUCAGUGGAGUGGACUACAAGAGAAGUCGGACAACGGGUAAAUUGCCAAUUGAAGCUCGACUUGAAGGCAUCCCAUGGCUGGCUAGUUGCGUAACUCGGGAAAUUGCACUGGACAGCAGAAUCUAGCGGGCCAGAAGCAGGCGGAACAAGCAUCUCAUUACUGGCUAAUUUAUGUUGACGUUACACGGGAAUUAUACAAAUUAAAGUUGCAGCGACAUGGGGCUCUUACCUUACCAAUUAAGAGUUCUUUGUAUCACACCGAAAUCGAGGAAGCCCGUUUCAUAAACGUUGCAAGGAAAUAAAGCACAUAAAACUGA